ACUCCUACGGGAGGCAGCAGUGGGGAAUAUUGGACAAUGGGGGCAACCCUGAUCCAGCCAUGCCGCGUGGGUGAAGAAGGCCUUCGGGUUGUAAAGCCCUUUUGUACGGGGCGAAAAGCGUACGGUGAACAUCCGUGCGUGCUGACGGUACCGUAAGAAUAAGCACCGGCUAACUUCGUGCCAGCAGCCGCGGUAAUACGAAGGGUGCAAGCGUUACUCGGAAUUACUGGGCGUAAAGCGUGCGUAGGUGGCGAGUUAAGUCUGAUGUGAAAUCCCCGGGCUCAACCUGGGAAUGGCAUUGGAUACUGGCUUGCUGGGGUGCGGUAGAGGGUGGUGGAAUUCCCGGUGUAGCAGUGAAAUGCGUAGAGAUCGGGAGGAACAUCCGUGGCGAAGGCGGCCACCUGGACCAGCACUGACACUGAGGCACGAAAGCGUGGGGAGCAAACAGGAUUAGAUACCCUGGUAGUCCACGCCCUAAACGAUGCGAACUGGACGUUGGUGGGAACUUGCCCAUCAGUGUCGAAGCUAACGCGUUAAGUUCGCCGCCUGGGGAGUACGGUCGCAAGACUGAAACUCAAAGGAAUUGACGGGGGCCCGCACAAGCGGUGGAGUAUGUGGUUCAAUUCGAUGCAACGCGCAGAACCUUACCUGGCCUUGACAUGCACGGAACCUUCCAGAGAUGGGAGGGUGCCUUCGGGAACCGUGACACAGGUGCUGCAUGGCUGUCGUCAGCUCGUGUCGUGAGAUGUUGGGUUAAGUCCCGCAACGAGCGCAACCCUUGUCCCUAGUUGCCAGCACGUAAAGGUGGGAACUCUAGGGAGACCGCCGGUGACAAACCGGAGGAAGGUGGGGAUGACGUCAAGUCCUCAUGGCCCUUACGGCCAGGGCUACACACGUACUACAAUGGUGGAUACAGAGGGUCGCCAAGCCGCGAGGCGGAGCCAAUCCCUGGAAAAUCCAUCUCAGUCCGGAUCGGAGUCUGCAACUCGACUCCGUGAAGUCGGAAUCGCUAGUAAUCGCGGAUCAGCAAUGCCGCGGUGAAUACGUUCCCGGGCCUUGUACACACCGCCCGUCACACCAUGGGAGUUUGUUGCACCAGAAGCAGGUAGCUCAACCGCAAGGGGGGCGCUUGCCACGGUGUGGCCGAUGACUGGGGUGAAGUCGUAACAAGGUAACC
RNAcentral lists this ribosomal RNA (1177 nucleotides) under uncultured bacterium. Its description in RNAcentral is "bacterial SSU rRNA". It matches the Rfam family "Bacterial small subunit ribosomal RNA", at positions 335 to 1501 of the family's 1533-position model. The record is from RNAcentral.